GAUUUGAGUUCUAAAUCAUCAUAUUUGGUAACACUUGGUCUCGAUUCAAAAUCAUCAUUCUCGGUAACGCUUGACCUGAGUUCAAAGUCAUCAUACUUGCUAAUAUUUGGUCUCGGUUCAAAAUCAUCAUUCUCGGUAACGCUUGACCUGAGUUCAAAAUCAUCAUAUUUGGUAGCACUUGGUCUCGGUUCAAAAUCAUUGUUCUUGGUAACGCUUGACUUGAGUUCAAAAUCAUCAUACUUAGUAACACUUGGUCUCGAUUCAAAAUCAUCGUUCUUGAUAAUGCUUGACUUGAAUUCCAAAUCAUCAUAUUUGGUAACACUUGGUAUGGGUUCGAAGUCACUGUUAACUUGUGUAUUUGUAACUAGAGACUCUUCA
This 378-nucleotide long non-coding RNA is filed under the name Glycine max (soybean). Its description in RNAcentral is "long non-coding RNA (GMAX_LNC002437)". The record is from RNAcentral. Lineage: Eukaryota; Viridiplantae; Streptophyta; Magnoliopsida; Fabales; Fabaceae.